This is a long non-coding RNA of Brassica oleracea var. oleracea, 598 nucleotides long. RefSeq lists it as uncharacterized. The transcript is spliced from 3 exons. The record is from RefSeq and is a predicted model, not a curated record. Lineage: Eukaryota; Viridiplantae; Streptophyta; Magnoliopsida; Brassicales; Brassicaceae.
ACUCAUUAUAUUCAAACUUAUUCUUGAAAACCUAAAGUUUAGAUUAUUUUGGUUCCGUUUAUUGAUUUAGAAAUCUUGCGUCUAUAUGAUUUUGGUUAAGCUUACUGAUUUUGUUUUCCUUUGCUGAUGUAAGAAUAUUUAGGCUUUGUUUAUUGAUUUAGAAAGCUAGAGUUUAGGUGGUUUUGGUUUCGCUAAUUGAUUUUGUCUUCGUAUGUUGAUGUAAGAUGAUGCAAAGUUAACCUGAAUACUUACUUUAUGUUGUUAGGGACGAUUAAUAGAUUUGAUAUUUGUUGUAAUCUGUUUAAUCUACUCCUCUCGCAGGCCACACUCAUCCAAGGGUCAGUCAAUCAACAAGCUUCACCGUCUUCACUCCUUCCAACUUAUCUUGCAAGCAGACCAGACGACUGUUUACGUGGAGGUCACAGCCACGGCUGAACCGAUACCGGAGGAGAGGGCUUCAGGUUCCGCAAAUACGAGGACCUCAUGUCACUUGCCAAUACCAACACUCAUUUGCCAGAUAUCGUUGGAGAGAUUAGGGGCAUAAAACAAUGUACAACCAAGACACCCAGAGCACUCAGCGCCUUAUGGCAGCCAUAAA